RNAcentral lists this ribosomal RNA (383 nucleotides) under uncultured bacterium. RNAcentral's name for it is "bacterial SSU rRNA". It matches the Rfam family "Bacterial small subunit ribosomal RNA", at positions 30 to 414 of the family's 1533-position model. The record is from RNAcentral.
AUUGAACGCUGGCGGAAUGCUUUACACAUGCAAGUCGAACGGCAGCACGGGGGCAACCCUGGUGGCGAGUGGCGAACGGGUGAGUAAUGCAUCGGAACGUACCCAAUCGUGGGGGAUAACGUGGCGAAAGUCACGCUAAUACCGCAUACGUCCUGAGGGAGAAAGCAGGGGAUCGCAAGACCUUGCGCGAUUGGAGCGGCCGAUGUCUGAUUAGCUAGUUGGUGGGUAAAAGCCUACCAAGGCGACGAUCAGUAGCUGGUCUGAGAGGAUGAUCAGCCACACUGGGACUGAGACACGGCCCAGACUCCUACGGGAGGCAGCAGUGGGGAAUUUUGGACAAUGGGCGAAAGCCUGAUCCAGCCAUUCCGCGUGAGUGAAGAAGG